Molecule: ribosomal RNA, 250 nt
Filed under: uncultured bacterium
Lineage: Bacteria
Description: partial 16S ribosomal RNA
Rfam family: Bacterial small subunit ribosomal RNA
Source: RNAcentral
AUACGAAGGGGGCUAGCGUUGCUCGGAAUGACUGGGCGUAAAGGGCGUGUAGGCGGUUUUGACAGUCAGAUGUGAAAUCCCCGGGCUUAACCUGGGAGCUGCAUUUGAGACGUUAAGACUAGAGUGUGAGAGAGGGUUGUGGAAUUCCCAGUGUAGAGGUGAAACUCGUAGAUAUUGGGAAGAACACCGGUGGCGAAGGCGGCAACCUGGCUCAUUACUGACGCUGAGGCGACGAAAGCGGUGGGGAGAC